Molecule: small nuclear RNA, 107 nt
Organism: Leptonychotes weddellii (Weddell seal)
Lineage: Eukaryota; Metazoa; Chordata; Mammalia; Carnivora; Phocidae
Source: RefSeq, a predicted model, not a curated record
GUGCUCACUUCAGCAGCACAUACACUAAAAUUGCAAUGAUAUAGAGAAGAUUAGCUUGGCCCCUGCACAAGGUUGACAUGCAAAUUCAUGAAGCAUUCCAUAUUUUU